AGUGAACGCUGGCGGCAGGCCUAACACAUGCAAGUCGAGCGGCAGCGCGGGGGCAACCCUGGCGGCGAGCGGCGGACGGGUGAGGAAUUCGUCGGAAUCUGCCUUUUUGUGGGGGAUAACGUAGGGAAACUUACGCUAAUACCGCAUACGACCUACGGGUGAAAGUGGGGGACCGCAAGGCCUCACGCAGAAAGAUGAGCCGACGACCGAUUAGCUAGUUGGUGAGGUAAAGGCCCACCAAGGCGACGAUCGGUAGCUGGUCUGAGAGGAUGAUCAGCCACACUGGGACUGAGACACGGCCCAGACUCCUACGGGAGGCAGCAGUGGGGAAUAUUGGACAAUGGGCGCAAGCCUGAUCCAGCCAUGCCGCGUGUGUGAAGAAGGCCUUCGGGUUGUAAAGCACUUUUGUCCGGAAAGAAAUCUUCCAACUUAAUACGUUGGGAGGAUGACGGUACCGGAAGAAUAAGCACCGGCUAACUUCGUGCCAGCCGCCGCCGUAA
RNAcentral lists this ribosomal RNA (500 nucleotides) under uncultured bacterium. Its description in RNAcentral is "partial 16S ribosomal RNA". It matches the Rfam family "Bacterial small subunit ribosomal RNA", at positions 29 to 523 of the family's 1533-position model. The record is from RNAcentral.